UUAAUAAAACAUUCUAUUUUUUUAUAAAAUAAUAUUUAUAGAGUUACCGGUAAAUAAUUUUUAUAGCGUAAAAGCUAAAUAAAUUUAUACAUACUGUAAUACAGAUAACCAAAGUAUAAAAUUUAAUUUACAGUUACACGUGGGCCCACGAACGACCAAAAGUAUCAAAAGCGGUAAACCUACAGUUUUUGAGUAUGCAAGUCCAACUAUAGCCCUCAACAAAGUGAGCUAUCUACUGACUAUCCUGAGCCUGAAAUGGGUGGAAAUGAGGGUGGUGAGAUUAUAUAAUCCCAGUGAGUAAACAAAUACCAUCUAAAAUAUCUAAAGUUGAGCAAAUAGAGACAAAUUAAAAUAGAUUAUCAUACUGUAAUUCAUUACCUUUGAACUCAUUUCAACCAAAUAAAAUCAAUUCAUAUAAAUUAAGUAAUCAACAUGGCUUAUGAAUUUCUUAAAACUUUGGCUCAUGCCAAAAUCAUUCUCAUACUCAGUUAUUAAGGAUACCUUGGCCGAGGGCUAUCCCAACCGAGUCCACCAAGGCUGUUAAAAAGUUAUGUACGCAUAAAUCAUGUUUUUAUUUUAAAAAUAUAGUUGUUCUUUGGCAUUGGCUAAGUUCACCCUCAUGUGGUGGUUUAGCGUGAAGUGAACUCUAAAGUGUUAACCUUAGGAGUUAUCCAUCCGCACCUCUCAUACUGAGGUAUGAAUAUAAUAGGGUUAUUGUGCCCCCUCUAAUAGGCUAGUCCACGGAACCCAUCCACUGCAGCGACUAAUCAAUAACCCACCAAUUCAAUAAAAGUUAACAGCAUGACAUGGCAAUUUUAUCAUUAUUCAGCCUAUCAAGGCAAACAACAGUUCAUAUAUUUUCAACACAUUUACCAAUUUAGCCAUUCAUGCAAAUAUUGUCAUAAGCCAUUCGAUUCGAACCUUGAAUUUACAACACAUGAAAAUAGUCUCCAAUUACUCUAUUUUCAAAACCAUCAUUCAAUCUCAAGACAAUUUUAUAAAAUCAUUUUCAUUUAAUCUCAUUUUGCUUAUAAAACAUAAAGAUUUACCAUUCAAACUCAUUUUCCAUAAAAUCACAAAAUCGGAUAAAACCACUUUAGAUAAUUAAGACGAUAGUAAGGUUACUCACUAUUUCGGGAGUCGAAUUCCAAGUACUCCAAUUCUUGAUCCUCGGAUACUAUCUCUUUACUUUUGCCAGAAUGCUCACAACCUAGACAUAAUGCACAAUAAGCCAUUUACUACAUUUGUGCUAAAUUAUUAUAAAACCAAUUCAGGCUCUAUACUAAUGCAUGAAAUGGAAUGCAAAUUGUUCGGAUUAUCCUCUAAACACGGUGUUCUACACAAAUUCAAUUGUGUACCUAAAUAAAAUGGUAUUGGCCUAAUUCGAUCUAUCACUCGAUUAAUUGGCAAAUAUGUCCAAUUUAACUCCAUUUAAUUCCAUUUUUUUCCCAAUACUCCAAAUCAUCAAACACAAAUUAAAUAACUUGAAAUAUGGCAAAAUCAUCCUCACAUUUUCUCUUGGAAAAUUCAACCAUGUUGGUUGCUUCAACACUAUGAUUUUUCAAGCUUGAUUCUCACACCAUAAAUCACUAAUUCCUAACCAAAUCACUUGAAAUAAAAUCAAAAUCAUCAUCAAUACUCUACAAGGAAGAUUCGGCCAAUGAAGGUUCUUGAGGGGUAUACGAUUUUUCCUGCUAAACAUUACCAUUUUUGGUUUCCACCACCACAAUUCAUUAAAUUUUAACUAAAUAACAUAAGACACCACAAGAUUCAUCUUCAAUAUUGUCUUUAUGAAAUUUGGCCAAUGAAGAAUCCAUGAAGAACAUGUGAUUUUUCUUGUUUUCCUUCCAAACAUGAUAAAUCAACUAUAAACACUAAAAUAUCUCAAAAUCUAACCAAAUAAAUCAUCAAAUCUUCUCUCUCUAAAUUUGCUCAGCCAUGAAUCCUUCAUGAUAUCUUGUGAUUCAACCAUGGAAAAUGCAAAAGAAUGCAUGGGAAAGGUAGAUCACAAGUCAAAAUCAAGAAAUUUUACCUUUGAUUGCUUGAUUACUUGAAAUCCACCAAUUUUCUCUUGAAUUUUCACCCUAGGGUUCUUGUUUUUUCUUUUCUUCCUUUGUUCUUGCUUUGGCCGGCCAUAUGAAGAGAAAUGGGCUGAUUUUGUGCUGAUUUUUAAGCCAAAUAAUAAAUGGAUGAAAAUUUGGCACAUGUCACCAUUCCAUUGGUCCAUGUGUCAUACUUACCCAUUAAGCAAUCUCUCUCCACCACUUAAAUUUCC
This 2275-nucleotide long non-coding RNA is filed under the name Theobroma cacao (cacao). Its description in RNAcentral is "long non-coding RNA (TCAC_LNC002509)". The record is from RNAcentral. Lineage: Eukaryota; Viridiplantae; Streptophyta; Magnoliopsida; Malvales; Malvaceae.